RNAcentral lists this ribosomal RNA (253 nucleotides) under uncultured bacterium. Its description in RNAcentral is "partial 16S ribosomal RNA". It matches the Rfam family "Bacterial small subunit ribosomal RNA", at positions 524 to 776 of the family's 1533-position model. The record is from RNAcentral.
UACGAAGGGGGCUAGCGUUGUUCGGAAUCACUAGGCUUAAAGCGUGCGCAGGCGGAUAUGAAAGUCAGGAGUGAAAUCACAGGGCUCAACCCUGGAAUUGCUUUUGAAACUCCAUAUCUAGAAUCCGGUAGAGGUUAGUGGAAUUCCGAGUGUAGAGGUGAAAUUCGCAGAUAUUCGGAGGAACACCAGUGGCGAAGGCGACUAACUGGACCGGUAUUGACGCGCAGGCACGAAAGCGUGGGGAGCAAACAGG